AGUGAACGCUGGCGGUAGGCCUAACACAUGCAAGUCGAACGGCAGCACAGUAAGAGCUUGCUCUUACGGGUGGCGAGUGGCGGACGAGUGAGGAAUACAUCGGAAUCUACUUUUUCGUGGGGGAUAACGUAGGGAAACUUACGCUAGUACCGCAUACGACCUACGGGUGAAAGCAGGGGAUCUUCGGACCUUGCGCGAUUGAAUGAGCCGAUGUCGGAUUAGCUAGUUGGCGGGGUAAAGGCCCACCAAGGCGACGAUCCGUAGCUGGUCUGAGAGGAUGAUCAGCCACACUGGAACUGAGACACGGUCCAGACUCCUACGGGAGGCAGCAGUGGGGAAUAUUGGACAAUGGGCGCAAGCCUGAUCCAGCCAUACCGCGUGGGUGAAGAAGGCCUUCGGGUUGUAAAGCCCUUUUGUUGGGAAAGAAAAGCAGCAGGUUAAUACCCCGCUGUUCUGACGGUACCCAAAGAAUAAGCACCGGCUAACUUCGUG
This 492-nucleotide ribosomal RNA is filed under the name uncultured bacterium. RNAcentral's name for it is "partial 16S ribosomal RNA". It matches the Rfam family "Bacterial small subunit ribosomal RNA", at positions 29 to 507 of the family's 1533-position model. The record is from RNAcentral.